AUGCGCGCUCAGGCGAGCAUCCUGCACCGUGUCGCCCUCGCCACCACCGGGCCAGGCGAGACGUCGUCGUCUCCGGUGAGCAUGGUGGCCCCGGAGCAGCAGCAGCAGCAGACAGCGCCUGUCAUAACAGUGAACUCGGACAUGGUGAUAAUCCUGGCCUCCCUGCUGUCCGCGCUCGUCCUCGCCCUCGGCAUCGCCCUCGUCACCCACUGCGCAUGCAGACGCCGGCGCUCCGCCAACUCUCCUCCGCCCCCCAAGGGCCUCAAGAAGAAUGACAUCGAUGCGCUCCCUGUCGUAUGUUUCGCUGCCGUGGCUCCACCGCAGUCAUCGUCGUCGUCCUUAGAGUGCGCGAUCUGCCUGGCCGAGUUCAUGGAGGGGGAGGGACUGCGCGUGCUCCCGCGGUGCGGCCACGGCUUCCAUGUCGCAUGCGUCGACGCCUGGCUACGGACCUGCGCCACAUGCCCCUCCUGCCGCGCCCCCAUCGUUGCCACGCCCACUGUGGUGGUAGUAGUGGCGACGAACAACAGGUGCGAGAGGUGCGGCGAGGUGGCAGCGCCUAACCGUGGCGUCGAGGACAUGUCCUUACCCCCAUUUUCUUAA
Molecule: ribosomal RNA, 600 nt
Filed under: Triticum aestivum (bread wheat)
Lineage: Eukaryota; Viridiplantae; Streptophyta; Magnoliopsida; Poales; Poaceae
Description: partial small subunit ribosomal RNA
Source: RNAcentral